CUUCCAGAAGUUUACAUUUAGGUCUGUAAAAAAGCACAACCUGCAGAGCUGUGUGUGUGUGUGUGUGUGCUUGUGUGUGUGUGUGUGUGUGUCUGUGCAUGUGAAACUCAUCAAACUUCUUUAAUAACUCUGAAUAUGACUUGUUUGGGCAUAUUUUCAAUGGAUGGCUAAUUUUGUGCCAGAAUUCAAAUGGAAAUUUAAACCAAAAGAGCUUGCAGAUAAAUAGCAGAGAUUGCUUGCUUUUCACCCCAUUUCUUCUGGUGGUAACUUUUCAAUUGUGAUUUUUUUUUUUUAACCCUCCAUAUUUUUUUUUUGCCAGACUUUGAUUUCUAAAGCUUUAUUUUUAGUCUUUGUAAGGCACAGCAUUGAUUGAGCAUGCUGUGUUCUAAUUUUGGUAGCAAUUUUGUAGGUUAGCUCAGUUUCAUAGAAAUUAGAAAGCUGGGGCUCAUGGAAGUGACUUAUUUUAUCCACGUAGCAGGGGGUGGCAGAGUGGAUGACGCCAGGGUCUGUGCUUCUUCAUCUCAAGGCUGGUGCUGUUUCCUUGGUGGGGCUCCAGGUCAAGUGUGGUCUGCAUUAAGGUCCUCCCUGGUGGAUGCUUGUGAAUGACCUGGGUGUGCACAGAGCAGAGUGGGGCUCCAGAGCCUGUACAUGUUGCUGGGUGUGCAGUAAACACACAGAAAACAGUAUAUGCCCACCCUGCUCGUGAAGAGGGAGUUGCUGAGUCUACACUCUGUGCCAUCUACCAUGCAAUUCACCACAGUAAUUUCGAAUAGCUUCUUGGGUCUUGCAUCAUUUGCGAAAGUGAAGCAAACCUUCCUCUACUGUACAGAGUGUCCAGAAAUAGAGCUCAUCAGAGUAACCCAGUUGACAUAAUGAGACUGUAAGCACACCAAGGGGAGUUUCUGGACGACUAGAGGACAUCUGAGGAGCACGGCUAAGCCCCAAACCUUCCUUAGGACUACUGUGAACCCCUAUACUUCUGCAGCUACAGUUCCAAAUUUCUGGGCUCCGUCCCAACAAAACGUCUAGAAAAAUUUGCUCUAUUUUCGAUCCUCGUUUUUUUUUUUUUUUUUUUUUUUUUUUCUCAUUUCAGAACAGUGAUGGCUUUUCCAGGUAAAGCAUCUUGUUACCUUAUAAGUUUCAUUAAAUAGAUGGCCUUUGAACUAGACCUUGCAGAAUGGGUAAAAUUUAUUUUGGAAAAGAAGUGAAAGAGGGCUAUCAGAGAGUGUUUUCAUGAAUGUAUAAGCCUGGAAUCUGGAUGUCUUUGAUAAGGAGCGAUAAAAGGGUACAUUUGGGUGUGGAUUAAUUCACUUACUCAGUAUAUACAUAUAUAUAGAAACCACAAUUAGAUACGGGAAAUAUAGCAAAGGAUUAGACCUGGUCCAGCUCUCAUGAUGUUCAGAGACAGUGAUGGUUCCGGGGCAUAGAGACGCAGUGGACAUCAAGAGGUGGGUUCAGAAGAAAGAGUGGGGGAAAAACUGUAAUUGCAAUGUAUACAUGUAAGGAUAACCUGACCCCCUUGCUGUACAGUGGGAAAAUAAAAAAAAAAUAAAUAAAUAAAUAAAUAAAUAA
This 1572-nucleotide long non-coding RNA is filed under the name Sus scrofa (pig). RNAcentral's name for it is "lncRNA (ENSSSCG00015048859.1)". Lineage: Eukaryota; Metazoa; Chordata; Mammalia; Artiodactyla; Suidae. The record is from RNAcentral.